RNAcentral lists this ribosomal RNA (409 nucleotides) under uncultured bacterium. RNAcentral's name for it is "bacterial SSU rRNA". It matches the Rfam family "Bacterial small subunit ribosomal RNA", at positions 29 to 426 of the family's 1533-position model. The record is from RNAcentral.
AACGAACGCUGGCGGCGCGCCUAAUACAUGCAAGUCGAGCGAGAAGGUGUAGCAAUACACUUGUAAAGCGGCGAACGGGUGAGGAAUGCAUGGGUAACCUACCCUCGAGUGGGGAAUAACUAGCCGAAAGGUUAGCUAAUACCGCAUACGUUUCCGGAACUUCGGUUUCGGAAAGAAAGCAAUACCGUGGGUAUUGCGCUCCUGGAUGGGCUCAUGUCCUAUCAGCUUGUUGGUGAGGUAACGGCUCACCAAGGCUUCGACGGGUAGCUGGUCUGAGAGGACGAUCAGCCACACUGGCACUGCGACACGGGCCAGACUCCUACGGGAGGCAGCAGUAAGGAAUAUUGCGCAAUGGACGAAAGUCUGACGCAGCGACGCCGGCGUGGGGGGAUGAAGGUCUUCGGAUUGU